This 94-nucleotide transfer RNA is filed under the name Paraburkholderia gardini. Its description in RNAcentral is "Paraburkholderia sp. LMG 32171 tRNA-Ile". Lineage: Bacteria; Pseudomonadati; Pseudomonadota; Betaproteobacteria; Burkholderiales; Burkholderiaceae. The record is from RNAcentral.
ACGCGGAUGGUCGGCCGGCACGGCCCGAUGCCGAUGAUCUCGGUGGCCGCGGGCAUCAGUUGCGGCGCGUCGUUCUUCGUGGCGCUGGUGUGCC